This 482-nucleotide ribosomal RNA is filed under the name uncultured bacterium. Its description in RNAcentral is "partial 16S ribosomal RNA". It matches the Rfam family "Bacterial small subunit ribosomal RNA", at positions 30 to 507 of the family's 1533-position model. The record is from RNAcentral.
AUUGAACGCUGGCGGCAGGCCUAACACAUGCAAGUCGAGCGGAUGAAGGGAGCUUGCUCCUGGAUUCAGCGGCGGACGGGUGAGUAAUGCCUAGGAAUCUGCCUGGUAGUGGGGGAUAACGUCCGGAAACGGGCGCUAAUACCGCAUACGUCCAGAGGGAGAAAGUGGGGGAUCUUCGGACCUCACGCUAUCAGAUGAGCCUAGGUCGGAUUAGCUAGUUGGUGGGGUAAAGGCCUACCAAGGCGACGAUCCGUAACUGGUCUGAGAGGAUGAUCAGUCACACUGGAACUGAGACACGGUCCAGACUCCUACGGGAGGCAGCAGUGGGGAAUAUUGGACAAUGGGCGAAAGCCUGAUCCAGCCAUGCCGCGUGUGAAGAAGGUCUUCGGAUUGUAAAGCACUUUAAGUUGGGAGGAAGGGCAGUAAGUUAAUACCUUGCUGUUUUGACGUUACCAACAGAAUAAGCACCGGCUAACUUCGUG